GACGAACGCUGGCGGCGUGCUUAACACAUGCAAGUCGAACGGAAAGGCCCUGCUUUUGUGGGGUGCUCGAGUGGCGAACGGGUGAGUAACACGUGAGUAACCUGCCCUUGACUUUGGGAUAACUUCAGGAAACUGGGGCUAAUACCGGAUAGGAGCUCCUGCUGCAUGGUGGGGGUUGGAAAGUUUCGGCGGUUGGGGAUGGACUCGCGGCUUAUCAGCUUGUUGGUGGGGUAGUGGCUUACCAAGGAUUUGACGGGUAGCCGGCCUGAGAGGGUGACCGGCCACAUGGGGACUGAGAUACGGCCCAGACUCCUACGGGAGGCAGCAGUGGGGAAUAUUGCACAAUGGGCGGAAGCCGGAUGCAGCAACGCCGCGUGCGGGAUGACGGCCUUCGGGUUGUAAACCGCUUUCGCCUGUGACGAAGCGUGAGUGACGGUAAUGGGUAAAGAAGCACCGGCUAACUACGUG
This 468-nucleotide ribosomal RNA is filed under the name uncultured bacterium. Its description in RNAcentral is "partial 16S ribosomal RNA". It matches the Rfam family "Bacterial small subunit ribosomal RNA", at positions 28 to 507 of the family's 1533-position model. The record is from RNAcentral.